This 2433-nucleotide long non-coding RNA is filed under the name Medicago truncatula (barrel medic). RNAcentral's name for it is "long non-coding RNA (MTRU_LNC002200)". Lineage: Eukaryota; Viridiplantae; Streptophyta; Magnoliopsida; Fabales; Fabaceae. The record is from RNAcentral.
UUAUCAAACAACAUACUAAGAUUAAAAGAACCACACAUGUCUCUUUAUAGUUGAACCUCCAAUUACCCAAUUGCUAAUGUCUCAUAACUCUGAAAGUCUGUUCCAGUAUCAUAGUUUGCUCCAUGUUUCGACAAGUAGAACUAAAAGUAAAAAAUCAUGAAUUUGCAACUAAAAGUAUAUCCUAUUGACAAAAGAGACACGGCUAUAAGAGGAAAACUGUCAUAGAAGCUCAAAGCCGAGAGGAAAUCAAUCACACAACUUGGUAGUUUUCUGUUACCAAUUGUGUUCUCUUAGCAUAUUUAGGAGGAUUACCACCCUCAACUGGUAUGAUAUUCCUAACCUGCAAAGAGAAGCAAGGUAUUUGGUUAAGAUCCCAUUACAUCAUUAUUCAUCAAAAUCAUUAACCAUACAAACAUCUCAGGGUCAAUAAAUGUGUCAGUUUCAAGUUUUUAUCAUAUCAUCAUGACACGUCAUUCCAAAUUUCAAACUUCAACCUGCAAAUCUAGUCAGAUAAUUCAAGAUUGCAUGUACACAUGUAACAUAUAUUAUUUCCAACACAAAACCACCGGUUUAUUUACUGCAAACUUCAACCUGAAACGCAAAAAUCAAGGUUGUCCCUAGCCCUUAUUCAAAGAAAGAAAACAAAGGUAAUGAAAUAGAGAGUUUCUGGUAGUGCACUACAAGAAAGUCUCUGGCUCUAGAUCUGGAUCACAAUAGAGAGUGCAUGGGUCUUGUUUUAUCAUAUGUAAUCAAGGCAGUAAGUUGCAGACUGCAUCUAGGCUGCAAUGGUCGCUACAAUCACAUCAUGUAUUCAUGCCUUGAUUGCGAACCACAAUGACAGUUAUCCAGCCCCACCAACUAAAACCCCUAAUAGCCACAAUACAAACAUGACAGCAACUGUAACUUAAAACACUAUAUCUAUAUCUAAUUAUCAACAACAUGAUUCAUCUGAUCAAUUGCCAGAACCCCUCAACCUAUACUAGGCAAAUUUGAUCCUUUCUUACCAAGAAAUUAGAAACCGCAGAAUGAUUCUUUUGAUGCCAAAUAUGAUACACUUAAUGGUUCUCUUUCUCCAACUUUUAUCUUAUUUUAUUUAUUUCAAUCAAUAUCACUAAGAUCAUAAUUCAUAAUCAAAAAGUAAAAUGAUAAUAAGUGUAGACACCAUGUGCACAAGAUCAUUAAUAUGACAAGUAACAAAAAACUCAGCCUGAUACAAAGUCAGUAUGGUACUAUGAUAUAAGCAAUUCAUACCUUAAGCCUCCUAACUUGUCCAGAUACAAAAGCAUCACCUCUACCUAUCAACUUAAGCUUUUAGGAGAAUAAUCAUCCGCAUGAUACUAUACAUAUUAAUGGAUACUUAACAUAUUGUCAGAAAACCCCAUUAAAAAAGCCUCAUAGCUCAAACCAUUGUCAAGAACACUAGUCAAAAAGUCACACUGAUUUUUUUCAGUAAGUAUUGAAUGAAUGCGUUUCAUUGGUAUGACAAUGGCGUUUACGGUCGCGGUCAGAAAGAAAAGCAUAAAUACAAGCAAUCCUGUUAGAGACACAAAUCACUUUCAUUCUUAUGGUAGAAGUUUCCCAUCUUUGAGACUAACUAAGUUUUUUUAGAUUAUCCUAUUUCAACUCUAGUUCCUGUACUUUUACAUGCAUUAUUAAAGAUUUAUAAGCUAAACCUCAUAAAGUUAUAGGUGCAGCCUUGCAGGCUACAGAAUUAUUGGUUGAUUUUAACAUUGUUAAACUAUAUAUUUAUCCAUGUGUGUUGAAAUAAGCUAUUCAACAUGCAACUAUUAAACAACAUAAGAUUAUAUCUACACAUCCAGUGCUAAUCAUAUACUAUUAACUUCCAUAUAUUAUACCAUGAAGCCAAAGUAAAUAAAUUCCUCCAUCCAAUUACUCUUGUAGCUUGAACAAGAACCAAUCAUAGCAGACCAAGUAAACAAAUUCAUCACAAUCAUUUCAUCAAACACUUUAUGUGCCUUCUCCAAAAUUCAAUUUUCAGUGAGUAUUGAAUGAAUUACCUAUUUCCUCAAAUGAAAAGCUCGUGAUCACAUACAUAAGAAUCUAAAACCUAAAACUCAUAAACUAGAUUAAACUCAUAAAUUAGGAUCGUGAAACUCAAAUCAGAAACUCAUCAUCAAAUUCAGUUGAAUGAGAAUGAAAGUAAUCUAAAACAUAUAACUCAUAAAUUAGAUCAAAUUUAAAAAUUAGGAUCAUGAAACUCAAAUCAGAAGGCUAUUUUUUAUAAAAGGCUAUUUUAGUCAACUGCAUUUAACUAAUAAAAAAAACAAAAGUGGGUUUAAGUUAACCUCAUUAAAAGCGUGAAGAAGGUAAGAAUAUGCGAAAGAUACGGGGUUCAAGUGCUGACAAUUUUUUUUUUAAUAUAACAAUAAACGUAUUAUCAAGUUUAGAUGAAAACACAUCAAUUUUAAAAUC